GAUUAGCUAGUUGGUGAGGUAAUGGCUCACCAAGGCGACGAUCCUUAGCUGGUUUGAGAGAACGACCAGCCACACUGGGACUGAGACACGGCCCAGACUCCUACGGGAGGCAGCAGUGGGGAAUAUUGGACAAUGGGCGAAAGCCUGAUCCAGCCAUGCCGCGUGAGUGAUGAAGGCCUUAGGGUUGUAAAGCUCUUUUGCCGGGGACGAUAAUGACGGUACCCGGAGAAUAAGUCCCGGCUAACUUCGUGCCAGCAGCCGCGGUAAUACGAAGGGGACUAGCGUUGUUCGGAAUCACUGGGCGUAAAGCGCACGUAGGCGGAUUUAUAAGUCAGGGGUGAAAUCCCGGGGCUCAACCUCGGAACUGCCUUUGAUACUGUGAAUCUUGAGUCCGAUAGAGGUGGGUGGAAUUCCUAGUGUAGAGGUGAAAUUCGUAGAUAUUAGGAAGAACACCGGUGGCGAAGGCGGCCCACUGGAUCG
This 480-nucleotide ribosomal RNA is filed under the name uncultured bacterium. RNAcentral's name for it is "bacterial SSU rRNA". It matches the Rfam family "Bacterial small subunit ribosomal RNA", at positions 239 to 736 of the family's 1533-position model. The record is from RNAcentral.